AACUUUCAACAACGGAUCUCUUGGUUCUGGCAUCGAUGAAGAAACGCAGCGAAAUGCGAUAAGUAAUGUGAAUUGCAGAAUUCAGUGAAUCAUCGAAUCUUUGAACGCACAUUGCGCCCCUUGGUAUUCCGGGGGGCAUGCCUGUUCGAGCGUCAUUUC
RNAcentral lists this ribosomal RNA (159 nucleotides) under Pezicula alnicola. RNAcentral describes it as "5.8S ribosomal RNA". It matches the Rfam family "5.8S ribosomal RNA". Rfam says of the family: 5.8S ribosomal RNA (5.8S rRNA) is a component of the large subunit of the eukaryotic ribosome. It is transcribed by RNA polymerase I as part of the 45S precursor that also contains 18S and 28S rRNA. Functionally, it is thought that 5.8S rRNA may be involved in ribosome translocation. Lineage: Eukaryota; Fungi; Ascomycota; Leotiomycetes; Helotiales; Dermateaceae. The record is from RNAcentral.